Non-coding RNA from Parelaphostrongylus tenuis, 74 nucleotides. The record is from the annotation of a GenBank genome assembly. Lineage: Eukaryota; Metazoa; Nematoda; Chromadorea; Rhabditida; Metastrongylidae.
GCCUCGGUGGUGUUAGUGGUAAAGCACGCGUCCCCGGUAAGCAUGAAACACGGGUUCGGUUCCCGCCUGAGGCC